This is a non-coding RNA of Maylandia zebra (zebra mbuna), 397 nucleotides long. Lineage: Eukaryota; Metazoa; Chordata; Actinopteri; Cichliformes; Cichlidae. The record is from RefSeq and is a predicted model, not a curated record.
GUUAGCAAAUGCUAACGCUAUCACAGCUAGCUCCACUCCACGAAACGCUGUUCAGGGUCAUAACACAAACAAGUCGUCAAGUCAAGCAGCUGAGGAAAGGGCUUAAGGAAACCAUGGUAUGGCCGCUUCUGACAGAAAGAUCAGACAUCAUUCCUCCUUUCUUACCAAGGGAAUCAGAGACUGCUCCCUGUUGUGAGACUACAAGAUAAGUAAAGCUAUAAAAUGACUGUGGCCUGCCACAGAAGAUGAAGAUGAGGAAGAAGAGGAAUGCUCUCGAGGAUAAAUGCAGAGUGGCAGGUUACCUUCGGUCCUUCAUUGAAAAUGCAUCUUGUGCACAACAAAAAGCCCUCAUCAAGUUUUGGACAGGAUGGGAAGUCUUGCCGAGAAAUGACUGUGG